Molecule: ribosomal RNA, 253 nt
Filed under: uncultured bacterium
Lineage: Bacteria
Description: partial 16S ribosomal RNA
Rfam family: Bacterial small subunit ribosomal RNA
Source: RNAcentral
UACGUAGGGUGCGAGCGUUAAUCGGAAUUACUGGGCGUAAAGCGUGCGCAGGCGGUUCGUUGUGUCGGCGGGGAAAGCCCCGGGCUCAACCUGGGAAUGGCCGUUGAAACUGGCGAGCUAGAGUGUGGCAGAGGGGGGUGGAAUUCCGCGUGUAGCAGUGAAAUGCGUAGAUAUGUGGAGGAAUACCGAUGGCGAAGGCAGCCCCCUGGGAUAACACUGACGCUCAUGCACGAAAGCGUGGGGAGCAAACAGG